RNAcentral lists this ribosomal RNA (769 nucleotides) under Bacillus sp. (in: firmicutes). Its description in RNAcentral is "bacterial SSU rRNA". It matches the Rfam family "Bacterial small subunit ribosomal RNA", at positions 49 to 803 of the family's 1533-position model. Lineage: Bacteria; Bacillati; Bacillota; Bacilli; Caryophanales; Bacillaceae. The record is from RNAcentral.
CUAUACUGCAAGUCGAGCGGACUUAAAAAGCUUGCUUUUUAAGUUAGCGGCGGACGGGUGAGUAACACGUGGGCAACCUGCCUGUAAGACUGGGAUAACUUCGGGAAACCGGAGCUAAUACCGGAUAAUCCUUUCCUACUCAUGUAGGAAAGCUGAAAGACGGUUUACGCUGUCACUUACAGAUGGGCCCGCGGCGCAUUAGCUAGUUGGUGAGGUAACGGCUCACCAAGGCGACGAUGCGUAGCCGACCUGAGAGGGUGAUCGGCCACACUGGGACUGAGACACGGCCCAGACUCCUACGGGAGGCAGCAGUAGGGAAUCUUCCGCAAUGGACGAAAGUCUGACGGAGCAACGCCGCGUGAGUGAUGAAGGUUUUCGGAUCGUAAAACUCUGUUGUUAGGGAAGAACAAGUACGAGAGUAACUGCUCGUACCUUGACGGUACCUAACCAGAAAGCCACGGCUAACUACGUGCCAGCAGCCGCGGUAAUACGUAGGUGGCAAGCGUUGUCCGGAAUUAUUGGGCGUAAAGCGCGCGCAGGCGGUCCUUUAAGUCUGAUGUGAAAGCCCACGGCUCAACCGUGGAGGGUCAUUGGAAACUGGGGGACUUGAGUGCAGAAGAGAAGAGUGGAAUUCCACGUGUAGCGGUGAAAUGCGUAGAGAUGUGGAGGAACACCAGUGGCGAAGGCGACUCUUUGGUCUGUAACUGACGCUGAAGCGCGAAAGCGUGGGGAGCAAACAGGAUUAGAUACCCUGGUAGUUCCACGCCCU